CUCCUCAUCACCUAGAACUUUGGUUGAUUGAAGUUUUGAGAGCAGAGGGCUUGAAGCAUCAGCCCCUGACUAUCACCACUGCAGUGCCUAAAAGCAAUGUUAUGGGGUAUGAAACAAAUGCCCAGCACGUGCAUUUGUGGCUAUUUGGAAGGCAAAUUUCAGGAAUGGGGAGAAGGGAGGAUUUUCAUAUUUGUAGACCAGAAUCAUUGGACUUGAUUCAGACCUUGCAUUCACAGGCUUUGUGCUGGACCAUCAGCACGAACACCCAGUUCUCACAUUAUGCAGACUGUGGGACCUAUUCCUUUGGGGAUGAGG
This is a long non-coding RNA of Mauremys reevesii (Reeves's turtle), 315 nucleotides long. RefSeq lists it as uncharacterized. The transcript is spliced from 4 exons. Lineage: Eukaryota; Metazoa; Chordata; Testudines; Geoemydidae. The record is from RefSeq and is a predicted model, not a curated record.